GUCUACGGCCAUACCACCCUGAACAUGCCUGAUCUCUUCUGAUCUCAGAAGCUAAGCAGGGUCGAGCCUGGUUAGUACUUAGAUGGAAGAAAAUAGAUAUGAAUAGAGC
RNAcentral lists this ribosomal RNA (109 nucleotides) under Neotoma lepida (desert woodrat). The record is from RNAcentral. Lineage: Eukaryota; Metazoa; Chordata; Mammalia; Rodentia; Cricetidae.